Molecule: transfer RNA, 74 nt
Filed under: Alicyclobacillus sp.
Lineage: Bacteria; Bacillati; Bacillota; Bacilli; Caryophanales; Alicyclobacillaceae
Description: tRNA-Thr
Rfam family: tRNA
About the family: Transfer RNA (tRNA) molecules are approximately 80 nucleotides in length. Their secondary structure includes four short double-helical elements and three loops (D, anti-codon, and T loops). Further hydrogen bonds mediate the characteristic L-shaped molecular structure. tRNAs have two regions of fundamental functional importance: the anti-codon, which is responsible for specific mRNA codon recognition, and the 3' end, to which the tRNAs corresponding amino acid is attached (by aminoacyl-tRNA synthetases). tRNAs cope with the degeneracy of the genetic code in two manners: having more than one tRNA (with a specific anti-codon) for a particular amino acid; and 'wobble' base-pairing, i.e. permitting non-standard base-pairing at the 3rd anti-codon position.
Source: RNAcentral
GCCGCCUUGGUCCAGAGGCAGGACGCUCCGCUUGUAACGGAGAGGCGACGGUUCGAUUCCGUCAGGCGGCUCCA